GGAAUAUUGCACAAUGGGCGGAAGCCUGAUACAGCGACGCCGCGUGAGGGAUGAAGGCCUUCGGGUUGUAAACCUCUUUCAGCAGGGACGAAGCGUGAGUGACGGUACCUGCAGAAGAAGCACCGGCUAACUACGUGCCAGCAGCCGCGGUAAUACGUAGGGUGCGAGCGUUGUCCGGAAUUACUGGGCGUAAAGAGUUCGUAGGCGGUUUGUCGCGUCGUUUGUGAAAACCCGGGGCUCAACUUCGGGCUUGCAGGCGAUACGGGCAGACUUGAGUGUUUCAGGGGAGACUGGAAUUCCUGGUGUAGCGGUGAAAUGCGCAGAUAUCAGGAGGAACACCGGUGGCGAAGGCGGGUCUCUGGGAAACAACUGACGCUGAGGAACGAAAGCGUGGGUAGCAAACAGGAUUAGAUACCCCAG
This 420-nucleotide ribosomal RNA is filed under the name uncultured Rhodococcus sp. RNAcentral describes it as "bacterial SSU rRNA". It matches the Rfam family "Bacterial small subunit ribosomal RNA", at positions 358 to 790 of the family's 1533-position model. The record is from RNAcentral. Lineage: Bacteria; Bacillati; Actinomycetota; Actinomycetes; Mycobacteriales; Nocardiaceae.